This is a long non-coding RNA of Capra hircus (goat), 632 nucleotides long. RefSeq lists it as uncharacterized. NCBI's taxonomy places the organism in Eukaryota, Metazoa, Chordata, Mammalia, Artiodactyla, Bovidae. The transcript has 2 exons. The record is from RefSeq and is a predicted model, not a curated record.
AGCUCAGGGACAGAACCACAAAACCACUGCUGCCAAGUGCCCGUAAGGUCACUGCAUUCAGGUUUGGGAUCAUGACAUUAUUUCCUGGCCUUCUAAUCAUCCCCCCUCAGCAGAACCUCUGUCUGCUACAGCUUGCUGGGGUAUACGUUCAGAGGAGUUUGCACCUGGAAGGGACCAGUGUUUUAUCAACGGUGCUGCUGAUUACAAGCAUCAGAAUUACCUGGGAUACUGAUUCAUUUUACAUGAGAAAAAUGAAGCCCAGAGAGGGAGGAAUUGGAGUCUUAGCUCCCGGACUAGGGAUUGAGCCGGUACCCCCUGCACUGGAAGGCAACGUCUUAAUCACUGGACCACCGGGGAAGUGCCAGGUCCUCAGUCUGUGAUGUAUUCCUGAUAAGGUCCCCGUCCCCGAGAGAGUCUGCCCUGAAGGCACAGUCUCACUCUGCAUAAGCUGAACCUCUGCGCAAUGAGAUACAGCACCAACAUCAAUGUGGGAAACAAAAGUCUUAGGUUUUGGCAUACCUUGUGGUUCACCAAGUCUACUGGGAGGUUCUUUGAAACAUUGUUCAAAAAGUAACCCUAAGCUGCAAACCCACAAAUAGGGACUUCAUUAAAUAAACUGAAAGAUGAUCAUA